GAUGAACGCUGGCGGCGUGCCUAAUACAUGCAAGUCGAGCGAACGGACGAGAAGCUUGCUUCUCUGAUGUUAGCGGCGGACGGGUGAGUAACACGUGGAUAACCUACCUAUAAGACUGGGAUAACUUCGGGAAACCGGAGCUAAUACCGGAUGAUAUUUUGAACCGCAUGGUUCAAAAGUGAAAGACGGUCUUGCUGCCACUUAUAGAUGGAUCCGCGCUGCAUUAGCUAGUUGGUAAGGUAACGGCUUACCAAGGCAACGAUGCAUAGCCGACCUGAGGGGGUGAUCGGCCACACUGGAACUGAGACACGGUCCAGACUCCUACGGGAGGCAGCAGUAGGGAAUCUUCCGCAAUGGGCGAAAGCCUGACGGAGCAACGCCGCGUGAGUGAUGAAGGUCUUCGGAUCGUAAAACUCUGUUAUUAGGGAAGAACAUAUGUGUAAGUAACUGUGCACAUCUUGACGGUACCUAAUCAGAAAGCCACGGCUAACUACGUG
Molecule: ribosomal RNA, 497 nt
Filed under: uncultured bacterium
Lineage: Bacteria
Description: partial 16S ribosomal RNA
Rfam family: Bacterial small subunit ribosomal RNA
Source: RNAcentral